AUCUGGGGACCCUUCACCUGCCUCUACUACUGCAAAUGAUUGGAUAUUCGUCUGCCUUGGCUCUUCCCUAAUGUGUGGAACUAAUUUUGUUCACUCUGUUUCAUGCUGGACCUGGCCUGAAAAUGGGCCCUUACAUUGUCUUUGCACUUUCCAACUUGCCAAGGUCUUCUGCAAGAGAGAUCUAAGAACCAGCCCUCAAAGAUGUUUCUGAAAGAAGGACCAAAGUAAUGCCAAGAACUCCCAGAUGAAGAGGACCUUCCUUAGACCUAUAACAGAUUCACUACUUGACUUCAGAGGGACGUUUCAGCUAAUUCUCAGGAAAAGGUCAAAACAGGCCUGUGACUGUCCCUCGAAUACUGAAGACCCUCCCAGAGACCAAUGCCGGAGAGACCCGGAUCCGAGCUCCCUUUAUAUGGCCUCCCCCAUCACGGAACCCGUGGGAAAACCUGGCACACAAUGGCGCGGCUGCUCCGGGCACCCUCAAGCCAGCGCCCUGCGGCAAGGCCUGGAGCAGCCUCGUGGUCUUGAGCGGGAACCCAGCCGAGUGUGUACCGCCGGCAGUGGCGGGGGAGGAGGCGACUGUGUGUGCAUACCUCAGUCGGAGAGGGGGUGGCGCUGGGAAAUAAAGGUUUGCAACCUCAGGCAGUUGGGCCCUUCAGAGGGCGUUUGGUUGUGUUCAGACUCGGGUGCUUUCUAA
This 697-nucleotide long non-coding RNA is filed under the name Pongo abelii (Sumatran orangutan). Its description in RNAcentral is "lncRNA (ENSPPYG00000032784.1)". The record is from RNAcentral. Lineage: Eukaryota; Metazoa; Chordata; Mammalia; Primates; Hominidae.